Molecule: non-coding RNA, 1284 nt
Organism: Carica papaya (papaya)
Lineage: Eukaryota; Viridiplantae; Streptophyta; Magnoliopsida; Brassicales; Caricaceae
Source: RefSeq, a predicted model, not a curated record
GUUCAACUUUAAAACACUCAAUAAACUCCCAAUCACAUUAAGAGAGAUUAGGGUUUCCUCUUUCCCCGAUCUCUCUCUUUGAUCGUCAACCCCUUAAACGUCGUCAACCAAAUAUCUCAUAUCGAAUCAAAGCAAAAGACUUUCACAUCCAUGGGAACUCCAGAGACUUCGCGCGAACCCUGCCCAGAUCGUAUCCUUGACGAUGUUGGUGGAGCCUUCGGGAUGGGAGCUGUAGGCGGUUCCGCCUUCAACUUUCUCAAGGGCGUCUCCAACACCCCCAAGGGUGAGAAGUUUUUUGGUGGCGUCCAGGCCGUUCGUAUGAAUGCACCGCGUGUCGGCGGAAGUUUCGCCGUUUGGGGUGGCCUUUUCUCUACCUUUGAUUGCAGUAUGGUCUACCUGCGGCAGAAGGAAGACCCUUGGAACUCCAUCAUUGCAGGGGCUGCCACCGGUGGCUUCUUACAGCUGCGCCAAGGUCUCGGCGCCUCUGCCCGAUCAGCUGUUUUUGGAGGCGUCCUUUUGGCGCUCAUCGAAGGAGCCGGCAUCAUGCUCAACAAGGUCCUCAGCGCGCAGCAGAACAUGCCUAUCAUGAUCGAAGAGCCUGGCGGCGGCAUGCCUGGAGCGUCCGGGAUCCCUAUGGGGCUCCCUGACAGGGCGGCGGUCCAGCCCAUGCCGGAGGUUGCCUCAACAAGCGGAUCUUCUUCUGAUUCGAGUUCAAGUUCAUGGUUUGGAGGGUGGUUUGGUGGCGGGAAGAAGCAAGAGACUGUGCCCAGUGGGGGAAGCAAGACGGAGAUUCUCGAAAGCUUCGACGCUCCUCCAGUGCCGAAUUUUGAGUAUAAGUGAAACUGAGGUUUUAUAAGCAGCUCAUAUCUUUUAACGUUAAGUUAAUUAUGAGUGAGAUAUGACUUUCAUCAAAUACUUAAGUGAGUUUAUGCAGGAUGUUUUGAUUGCACAACGUGUUCAAACUCUUUGAAGUCAUCUGCGGAGAAUUUUUGUCAAGAUCUAUUUUCUGUAGAUUCACUUAUCAACAAUUGUCUACUGAUGAUUUAUGUUCAACGGGAAUCAGUCAUUUGCUCUUCCAUGAAGAGCACGAGGCAAAUGUUAGAUUGCGAUACCAGUCAAAUUAUGUGGGAAAUUUUUUGGAGAAGAGUUUGGCAAGAUCUGUAAUUUGAAAUAUGAGCGUACCUACUAACCAUGUUAAAUAUAUUACUGAAGGGGUGGUCAAUUAAUCCUCUUAUAUGGACGGGUUCAAGCUGGGUUGUGUUUUUAUAUUUCAUAUCAGAUGUU